Molecule: ribosomal RNA, 427 nt
Filed under: uncultured bacterium
Lineage: Bacteria
Description: partial 16S ribosomal RNA
Rfam family: Bacterial small subunit ribosomal RNA
Source: RNAcentral
UGGGGAAUAUUGGACAAUGGGCGAAAGCCUGAUCCAGCCAUGCCGCGUGUGUGAAGAAGGUCUUCGGAUUGUAAAGCACUUUAAGUUGGGAGGAAGGGUUGUAGAUUAAUACUCUGCAAUUUUGACGUUACCGACAGAAUAAGCACCGGCUAACUCUGUGCCAGCAGCCGCGGUAAUACAGAGGGUGCAAGCGUUAAACGGAAUUACUGGGCGUAAAGCGCGCGUAGGUGGUUAGUUAAGUUGGAUGUGAAAUCCCCGGGCUCAACCUGGGAACUGCAUUCAAAACUGACUGACUAGAGUAUGGUAGAGGGUGGUGGAAUUUCCUGUGUAGCGGUGAAAUGCGUAGAUAUAGGAAGGAACACCAGUGGCGAAGGCGACCACCUGGACUGAUACUGACACUGAGGUGCGAAAGCGUGGGGAGCAAACA